AUUCGAUUAGAGUUUGAUCAUGGCUCAGAACGUACGCUGGCGGCACGCCUAACACACGCAAGUCGAACGAAGUAGCAAUACUUAGUGGCAGACGGGUGAGUAACAUGUAGGUAUCUACCCUUUGGCCUGGAAUAACACGAGGAAACUUGUGCUAAUACCGGAUAAGUCUUUACGGAGAAAGCUUUAUGCACCAUUGGAUGAGCCUGCACUUGAUUAGUUUGUUGGUGGGGUAAUGGCCUACCAAGACUGUGAUCAAUAGCUGAUUUGAGAGGAUGAUCAGCCACAUUGGGACUGAGACACGGCCCAAACUCCUACGGGAGGCAGCAGUGGGGAAUCUUGCACAAUGGAGGAAACUCUGAUGCAGCGAUGCCGCGUGAGUGAAGAAGGCCCUUGGGUUGUAAAGCUCUUUCGUCGGGGAAGAAAAUGACUGUACCCGAAUAAGAAGGUCCGGCUAACUUCGUGCCAGCAGCCGCGGUAAUACGAAGGGACCUAGCGUAGUUCGGAAUUACUGGGCUUAAAGAGUUCGUAGGUGGUUGAAAAAGUUAGUGGUGAAAUCCCAGAGCUUAACUCUGGAACUGCCAUUAAAACUUUUCAGCUAGAGUAUGAUAGAGGAAAGCAGAAUUUCUAGUGUAGAGGUGAAAUUCGUAGAUAUUAGAAAGAAUACCAAUUGCGAAGGCAGCUUUCUGGAUCAUUACUGACACUGAGGAACGAAAGCAUGGGUAGCGAAGAGGAUUAGAUACCCUCGUAGUCCAUGCCGUAAACGAUGUGUGUUAGACGUUGGAAAUUUAUUUUCAGUGUCGCAGCGAAAGCGAUAAACACACCGCCUGGGGAGUACGACCGCAAGGUUAAAACUCAAAUGAAUUGACGGGGACCCGCACAAGUAGUGGAGCAUGUGGUUUAAUUCGAAGAUACGCGCAGAACCUUACCAACACUUGACAUGUUCGUCGCGACUCUAAGAGAUUAGAGUUUUCGGUUCGGCCGGACGAAACACAGGUGCUGCAUGGCUGUCGUCAGCUCGUGUCGUGAGAUGUUGGGUUAAGUCCCGCAACGAGCGCAACCCUCACUUUUAGUUGCCAUCAUUAAGUUGGGCACUCUGAAAGAACUGCCAGUGAUAAGCUGGAGGAAGGUGGGGAUGACGUCAAGUCCUCAUGGCCCUUACGUGUUGGGCUACACACGUGCUACAAUGGUAUCUACAACAGGAAGCAAGACUGCGAGGUCAAGCAAAUCCUUAAAAGAUACCUCAGUUCGGAUUGCACUCUGCAACUCGAGUGCAUGAAGCUGGAAUUACUAGUAAUCGUGGAUCAGCGUGCCACGGUGAAUGCGUUCCCGGGUCUUGUAGA
This 1340-nucleotide ribosomal RNA is filed under the name uncultured bacterium. Its description in RNAcentral is "bacterial SSU rRNA". It matches the Rfam family "Bacterial small subunit ribosomal RNA". The record is from RNAcentral.